The sequence is a ribosomal RNA, 1857 nucleotides long. It matches the Rfam family "Bacterial large subunit ribosomal RNA", at positions 1086 to 2925 of the family's 2925-position model.
UAGACAGCCAGGAGGUUGGCUUAGAAGCAGCCACCCUUAAAAGAGUGCGUAAUAGCUCACUGGUCGAUGUUUUCUGGCGCCGAAAAUGUAGCGGGGCUCAAGCUGAAUACCGAAGCAACGGGCUUGACUUUAGUCAAGCGGUAGGGGAGCGUUCUGUACGCCUGUGAAGCCGUAUCGUGAGAAGCGGUGGAGGUAUCAGAAGUGCGAAUGCCGGCAUGAGUAGCGUAAAGAGAUGUGAGAAUCAUCUCCGCCGAAAGCCUAAGAUUUCCUGGGCCAGGGUUUUCCACCCAGGGUUAGGCGGGACCUAAGCCGAGGUCGAGAGACGUAGGUGAUGGACAGCCGGUUAAGAUUCCGGCCCCACGGCAACUUGUUUGAUCGAUGGAGUGACGCAGAAAGAUAGUGCUAGCGGCGUGUGGUUGUGCCGCGUCAAGCGUGUAGGGUGUUGGGAUAGGCAAAUCCGUUCCAACUGAGCCUGAGACGUGAUGAGGACCGAACUAAGUAGGGAACUGCAUGUGUCUACGCUGCCGAGAAAAACUUCUAGGUAGAGUUGUCGUGCCCGUAUUGAAACCGACACUGGUGGGCAAGUAGAAUAUACUAAGGCGGCGGGUGAAGCCUUCUUAAGGAACUCGGCAAAUUAACCCCGUAACUUAGGGAAAAGGGGUGCCUUGGAUUGUGUAGGGAUUUACUCCCGAAGCGUUCCGAGGUCGCAGUGAAAGGGCUCAAGCGACUGUUUAACACAAACACAGGUCUCUGCCAAGCCGCAAGGCGACGUAUAGGGGCUGACUCCUGCCCGGUGCUGGAACGUUAAGGGGAGGGCUCAGGGUGCAAACCCGAAGGCUUAAACCGAAGCGCCAGUAAACGGCGGCCGUAACUAUAACGGUCCUAAGGUAGCGAAAUUCCUUGUCGGGUAAGUUCCGACCCGCACGAAUGGAGUAACGACUUGAGCACUGUCUCGAGAAGGGGCCCGGCGAAAUUGCAUUACCUGUGAAGAUGCAGGUUACCCGCAGCAAGACGGAAAGACCCCGUGGAGCUUUACUGUAGCUUGAUGUUGAUUUUUGGUUCGUUCUGUACAGGAUACGUGGGAGGCUAUGAUGGUGCGACGCAAGUUGUAUCGGAGCCGUUGUUGGGAUACCACGCUGGACGGGCUGGAAAUCUAACCUGGAGUGUAAUCCACUUCAGGAACAGCGUCUGGUAGGCAGUUUGACUGGGGCGGUUGCCUCCUAAAGAGUAACGGAGGCGUUCAAAGGUUCCCUCAGCCUGGUCGGGAAUCAGGCGCAGAGUGCAAGCGCAUAAGGGAGCUUGACUGCGAGACGAACAUGUCGAGCAGAGUGGAAACACGGAGCUAGUGAUCCGGCGGUGCCGAGUGGAAGGGCCGUCGCUUAUCGGAUAAAAGCUACCCCGGGGAUAACAGGCUUAUCACGCCCAAGAGUCCAUAUCGACGGCGUGGUUUGGCACCUCGAUGUCGGCUCAUCGCAUCCUGGGGCUGAAGUAGGUCCCAAGGGUUGGGCUGUUCGCCCAUUAAAGCGGUACGUGAGCUGGGUUCAGAACGUCGUGAGACAGUUCGGUCCCUAUCUGCUGUGGGCGUAGGAAGUUUGAGAAGAUCUGUCCUUAGUACGAGAGGACCGGGAUGGACAGACCUCUGGUGAACCAGUUGUCAUGCCAGUGGCAAAGCUGGGUAGCUAAGUCUGGAAGGGAUAAACGCUGAAAGCAUCUAAGCGUGAAGCCCACUUCAAGAUGAGACUUCCCUCCCUUUCGAGGGGUAAGAGUCCUGGAAGACGACCAGGUUGAUAGGCCGGGUGUGGAAGCGCAGUAAUGCGUGCAGCGAACCGGUACUAAUAACUCGAGCGACUUCAUAAA